Molecule: ribosomal RNA, 637 nt
Filed under: Clostridioides difficile
Lineage: Bacteria; Bacillati; Bacillota; Clostridia; Peptostreptococcales; Peptostreptococcaceae
Description: bacterial LSU rRNA
Rfam family: Bacterial large subunit ribosomal RNA
Source: RNAcentral
GUGCGGAGCCGUAGCGAAAGCGAGUUUUAACUGAGCGUUCAGUUACUUGACGUAGACCCGAAACCGGGCGACCUACCCAUGAGCAGGAUGAAGCGAAAGUAAAAUUUCGUGGAGGUCCGAACCCACGAGCGUUGAAAAGCUCGGGGAUGACUUGUGGGUAGCGGUGAAAUUCCAAUCGAGCCCGGAGAUAGCUGGUUCUCCCCGAAAUAGCUUUAGGGCUAGCCUCAAGGUGAGAGAUACGGAGGUAGAGCACUGAAUGUCCUAGGGGGUAUUGCACCUACCGAAGACUAUCAAACUCCGAAUGCCGUCAUCUUAUACUUGGGAGUCAGACUGUGGGUGAUAAGAUUCAUAGUCGAAAGGGCAACAGCCCAGAUCGUCAGCUAAGGUCCCUAAAUGUAAGUUAAGUGGUAAAGGAUGUGGGAUUGCACAGACAACCAGGAUGUUGGCUUAGAAGCAGCCACUCAUUCAAAGAGUGCGUAAUAGCUCACUGGUCGAGUGAUCCUGCGCCGAAGAUUUCCGGGGCUAAAACUUACUACCGAAGCUACGGCAUCAGUAAUGAUGGGUAGGGGAGCUUCCCAUACGGGUUGAAGCAUGACCGUAAGGACAUGUGGACAGUAUGGGAGUGAGAAUGUUGGCA